UACAGAGGUCUCAAGCGUUGUUCGGAUUUAUUGGGCGUAAAGGGUGCGCAGGCGGUGUGGUAAGUUUGGUGUGAAAUCCUGGGGCUCAACCCCAGAAAUGCACUGAAUACUGCCAUGCUAGAGGACUGGAGAGGAGAUUGGAAUUCACGGUGUAGCAGUGAAAUGCGUAGAUAUCGUGAGGAAGACCAGUGGCGAAGGCGAAUCUCUGGACAGUUCCUGACGCUCAUGCACGAAGGCCAGGGGAGCAAACGGG
Molecule: ribosomal RNA, 253 nt
Filed under: uncultured bacterium
Lineage: Bacteria
Description: partial 16S ribosomal RNA
Rfam family: Bacterial small subunit ribosomal RNA
Source: RNAcentral